UACAGAGGGUGCGAGCGUUAAUCGGAAUUACUGGGCGUAAAGCGCGCGUAGGCGGCUUCGCAAGUCGGGUGUGAAAUCCCCAGGCUUAACCUGGGAACUGCAUUCGAGACUGCAUUGCUAGAGUAUGGGAGAGGGAAGUGGAAUUUCCGGUGUAGCGGUGAAAUGCGUAGAUAUCGGAAGGAACAUCAGUGGCGAAGGCGAAUCUCUGGACAGUUACUGACACUGAGGCACGAAGGCCAGGGGAGCAAACGGG
RNAcentral lists this ribosomal RNA (253 nucleotides) under uncultured bacterium. RNAcentral describes it as "partial 16S ribosomal RNA". It matches the Rfam family "Bacterial small subunit ribosomal RNA", at positions 524 to 776 of the family's 1533-position model. The record is from RNAcentral.